UUGACAAUAAGGGUUGAGUAACAUAACUUCAGGAGUGAGGGUAGAGCGGGGUUUCCCCCGCCCUGGUAGUCUUAGUAAGCCGGGAAGCUUAUGACUAAGAGCACCACGAUGAUGAUCCACUUCAUCAUGACCCUUUCCUU
Molecule: small RNA, 140 nt
Filed under: Escherichia coli O123:H11 str. 2009C-3307
Lineage: Bacteria; Pseudomonadati; Pseudomonadota; Gammaproteobacteria; Enterobacterales; Enterobacteriaceae
Description: partial QUAD RNA
Rfam family: Short Intergenic Abundant RNA
About the family: This family contains multiple ncRNA from E. coli that were identified in a large scale screen of E. coli, were they were called candidates 43,55 and 61. These RNAs have also been identified by other groups and called QUAD RNAs.
Source: RNAcentral